UACGGAGGGUGCAAGCGUUGUUCGGAUUUAUUGGGCGUAAAGCGCGUGUAGGCGGUUUGUUAAGUCUGUUGUGAAAGCCCUGGGCUCAACCCGGGAAGUGCACUGGAUACUGGCAGACUUGAAUACGGGAGAGGAGAGUGGAAUUCCUGGUGUAGGAGUGAAAUCCGUAGAUAUCAGGAGGAACACCGGUGGCGAAGGCGGCUCUCUGGACCGAUAUUGACGCUGAGACGCGAAAGCGUGGGUAGCAAACAGG
RNAcentral lists this ribosomal RNA (253 nucleotides) under uncultured bacterium. RNAcentral's name for it is "partial 16S ribosomal RNA". It matches the Rfam family "Bacterial small subunit ribosomal RNA", at positions 524 to 776 of the family's 1533-position model. The record is from RNAcentral.